RNAcentral lists this ribosomal RNA (353 nucleotides) under uncultured bacterium. RNAcentral's name for it is "bacterial SSU rRNA". It matches the Rfam family "Bacterial small subunit ribosomal RNA", at positions 8 to 350 of the family's 1533-position model. The record is from RNAcentral.
AGAGUUUGAUCCUGGCUCAGGAUGAACGCUAGCUACAGGCUUAACACAUGCAAGUCGAGGGGAAACGACAUCGAAAGCUUGCUUUUGAUGGGCGUCGACCGGCGCACGGGUGAGUAACGCGUAUCCAACCUGCCCAUCACUUGGGGAUAACCUUGCGAAAGUAAGACUAAAUACCCAAUGACGUCUCUAGAAGACAUCUGAAAGAGAUUAAAGAUUUAUCGGUGAUGGAUGGGGAUGCGUCUGAUUAGCUUGUUGGCGGGGUAACGCCACAAGGCGACGAUCAGUAGGGGUUCUGGAGACGGAAGGUCCCCCANAUUGGAACUGAGACACGGUCCAAACGUCCUACGGGAGCA